UACGUAGGGGGCGAGCGUUGUCCGGAAUUACUGGGCGUAAAGGGCUCGUAGGCGGCCAACUAAGUCAGACGUGAAAUCCCUCAGCUUAACUGGGGAACUGCGUCUGAUACUGGAUGGCUUGGAUUCGGGAGAGGAAUGCGGAAUUCCAGGUGUAGCGGUGAAAUGCGUAGAUAUCUGGAGGAACACCGGUGGCGAAGGCGGCAUUCUGGACCGAUAUUGACGCUGAGGAGCGAAAGCCAGGGGAGCAAACGGG
This 253-nucleotide ribosomal RNA is filed under the name uncultured bacterium. RNAcentral describes it as "partial 16S ribosomal RNA". It matches the Rfam family "Bacterial small subunit ribosomal RNA", at positions 524 to 776 of the family's 1533-position model. The record is from RNAcentral.